RNAcentral lists this ribosomal RNA (461 nucleotides) under uncultured bacterium. Its description in RNAcentral is "partial 16S ribosomal RNA". It matches the Rfam family "Bacterial small subunit ribosomal RNA", at positions 338 to 795 of the family's 1533-position model. The record is from RNAcentral.
CCUACGGGAGGCAGCAGUGAGGAAUAUUGGUCAAUGGGCGAGAGCCUGAACCAGCCAAGUCGCGUGAAGGAUGACGGCCCUACGGGUUUUAAACUUCUUUUGUCAGGGAGCAAUUGGGUCCACGCGUGGGCUUAGCGAGAGUACCUGAAGAAAAAGCAUCGGCUAACUCCGUGCCAGCAGCCGCGGUAAUACGGAGGAUGCGAGCGUUAGCCGGAUUUAUUGGGUUUAAAGGGUGCGUAGGCGGAAUAUCAAGUCAGCGGUAAAAAUUCGGGGCUCAACCCCGUCGUGCCGUUGAAACUGAGGUUCUUGAAUGGGCGAGAAGUAUGGGGAAUGCGUGGUGUAGCGGUGAAAUGCAUAGAUAUCACGGAGGACUCCGAGUGCGAAGGGAGCAUACCGGCGCCCAACUGACGCUGAAGCACGAAAGCGUGGGGAUCGAACAGGAUUUAGAUACCCGAGUAGUC